UACGGAGGGUGCGAGCGUUGUCCGGAAUCACUGGGCGUAAAGGGCGCGUAGGCGGCGCGGGUAGUCGUCGGUGAAAGCUCAGGCUCAACCCUGAGUCGGCCGGUGAUACUCCCCGUGCUCGAGCACUGUAGAGGCAGGUGGAAUUCCGGGUGUAGCGGUGGAAUGGCGUAGAGAUCCGGAAGAACACCGGUGGCGAAAGCGG
This 202-nucleotide ribosomal RNA is filed under the name uncultured bacterium. RNAcentral describes it as "partial 16S ribosomal RNA". It matches the Rfam family "Bacterial small subunit ribosomal RNA", at positions 524 to 724 of the family's 1533-position model. The record is from RNAcentral.